CGGGGAGUGGCGUAGUUUGGUAGCGCGUCUGGUUUGGGACCAGAAGGUCGGCAGUUCGAAUCUGCCCUCCCCGACCA
RNAcentral lists this transfer RNA (77 nucleotides) under Caldisericia bacterium. Its description in RNAcentral is "tRNA-Pro". It matches the Rfam family "tRNA". Rfam says of the family: Transfer RNA (tRNA) molecules are approximately 80 nucleotides in length. Their secondary structure includes four short double-helical elements and three loops (D, anti-codon, and T loops). Further hydrogen bonds mediate the characteristic L-shaped molecular structure. tRNAs have two regions of fundamental functional importance: the anti-codon, which is responsible for specific mRNA codon recognition, and the 3' end, to which the tRNAs corresponding amino acid is attached (by aminoacyl-tRNA synthetases). tRNAs cope with the degeneracy of the genetic code in two manners: having more than one tRNA (with a specific anti-codon) for a particular amino acid; and 'wobble' base-pairing, i.e. permitting non-standard base-pairing at the 3rd anti-codon position. The record is from RNAcentral. Lineage: Bacteria; Pseudomonadati; Caldisericota; Caldisericia.